CCUACGGGAGGCAGCAGUAAGGAAUAUUGGUCAAUGGACGAAAGUCUGAACCAGCCAUGCCGCGUGAAGGAUUAAGGCCCUCUGGGUUGUAAACUUCUUUUAUCUGGGACGAAAAAAGGGUAUUCUUACUCACUUGACGGUACCAGAGGAAUAAGCACCGGCUAACUCCGUGCCAGCAGCCGCGGUAAUACGGAGGGUGCAAGCGUUAUCCGGAUUUACUGGGUUUAAAGGGUGCGUAGGUGGGCUUGUAAGUCAGUGGUGAAAUCUCCGGGCUUAACCCGGAAACUGCCAUUGAUACUAUAGGUCUUGAAUUAUCUGGAGGUAAGCGGAAUAUGUCAUGUAGCGGUGAAAUGCUUAGAUAUGACAUAGAACACCAAUUGCGAAGGCAGCUUACUACGGAUAUAUUGACACUGAGGCACGAAAGCGUGGGGAUCAAACAGGAUUAGAUACCCUGGUAGUCCACGCCCUAAACGAUGGAUACUCGACAUCAGCGAUACACUGUUGGUGUNUGAGCGAAGACAUAAGUAUCCACCNCGGAGUACGANCGCAGAGUAGUAAACGUUAAAGUAGUAAGUUAGUACGGACGUGUAGACGUCGACCGAACGGACGACGACGAGGGAGGAGGAG
Molecule: ribosomal RNA, 627 nt
Filed under: uncultured bacterium
Lineage: Bacteria
Description: bacterial SSU rRNA
Rfam family: Bacterial small subunit ribosomal RNA (bases 1-533)
Source: RNAcentral